CAACAUACAACGCACUGAGCCGUGGGUCAGAGCCGCUAGUAUCUGAUCCGUGGCUCAGAAAGUUUUCUUUCCGUCACAGGAUGCCAGGCGCGUCAUCAAUGCAACCCCUGGCUCCUCUGCCGUAGCGCCAUAGCCAUUUUCGCGAACAGGAGAGAGGGACCGAGAAGAAGAACAGGCGACCCGUCGCGCCAUGGCGUUCCUAAUGCAGCCAAUCCGCAGAUCUACGAAUUUUGAGGAGGUAGGAGAGAGCAUGGUGUCGGAAGGUUCGCCGGCAGUUGGGACAAGGCGAACGGCGGUGGAGGUGGCGCUGCACGACGGAAUAGUUUUGAGCGGGGACAAGCGGCUCUGCCCGCCGUCAGGAGCGGUAAUGUUGAGUGGCCAAGGACAAAUCUGCAGCGGUACGCCGGCGGCGACUAUGAGCGGCGAAGAAUGAAUAUGCAGUGCGGUGCAAGCAGCAGCGGUGAGAAAGGAGAGCUCGCCUCCCACAUCUGAGCUGUCCACGGGCUCCUGGUUAAGAGGUUGCGGAUUGGUGUUGCUGGCCCCAGCAAGGCGCCUUGCGCUACCCGUAUUGUUCGCCGAAAAGCCGACGGAUAAUUUAAUCACUGCAGUGCUGGGUACUACCUUUGACUCGCUUGGAUAAGCAUACGAUUUCUACAGCUUGUAUUCCUGGGAGAAAGGAUUUGGUAUAAGAUAUGGUAAAAGCCGGCUAAAUGUGGAGAGGAUGAAGUUCAUGCAGGAAAUUGUUUGCGGAUGUUUGGAAAAGCUAGUGUGGAGAACACAAGGUCCUGUCAGUGUGAAUGCCGAGCGUUAAUAAGGCUGUUAUGGACAGAGGACAAUGGUUGGUAUAUCGCAGAGCAUCGAGAGAGCCAUAACCACUCGCUUUCGCCAAAUUUCGGUGAGACAAUUCACUGGUCAUCCCACAAGCACUUUGAUGUGUACAGCAGGGAUUUGAGAAAGCAUUUGCGGCAGAAUAAUGUCAACCUAGCUAAGGUGUAUAGCAUAGUAGGCAUAUUUUUUGGAUCGAUGAAAAAUGUGCCAUUUACGAAGAGGUCUUUGUGUAAUCUUUGCGGCCAGAUUAGCAGGGAACAAUCAGAUGAUAAUGUAAGGAAAACAAUGGAGGUUUUUGCAGAAAUUGGGGCAAAGGACCCUCAUUUCAAAUACAGAGUUCAGCCUGACAAAGAGGGUGGGAUCAAGAACCUUAUGUGGGCAAGCGGGAGCAAUAGGUUGCAGUACACAUUUUCCGGUAGUGCAUUAACAUUUGACACAACCUACAUGACAAAUUUGUAUGGCAUGCCUUUCAGACUAUUUGUUGGUGUGAACAACCAUUUUCAGAGAGUGAUCCCGGCUGGAUUGAUUGUGCGUGGCGAAACUGUCGAGAGUUUCAAAUGGGUUUUCUCUGAAUUUCUCAGAAUCAUGGGUGGCGCUGCACCAAAAAACUAUACUUACUGGCAAGAUCUUCAUUUCAUUGCUGUUAUUUAUAUGACCAGAAUCGGGCUAUGGAAGUGGCGUUCAAGAACAUAAUGCCAGAUACUAUGCACUGCUGGUGUAAGUGGCACGUGCUAAAGAAAGUCAAAGAAUCGUUGGGCCUCUGCACACCAAGAAGAGUGAAUUCCGAGCAGAGUUCCGCAAAAGUGGUGAAUCACAUGCUGACGGUGGGUGAAUUUGAGAAAGACUGGGAAUUGUUGCUUGCUAAAUACAUGAUGAGGUCGCAUCCAUAUAUGACGAACCUAUUUGAGAUCAGGGAGAAAUGGGCGAAGCCGUAUUUGAAAGGAGUGUUUUGUGCCAAGAUAGCGAGCACGCAAAGCAGUGAGUGCGAACCAUAUGUUAAAGAAUUAUGUCCCUCCAGGAUGUCCAAUGCUUAUGUUUCUUUAGAAGUAUAUGAGGCUACUCUUUGACAGUGAAGCGGAAGAGAACUAUGAAGAGAAGCGAACAAGAAUUGGGAGGCAUUUGUUAAGAGCAAACUUGGCAGUUGAAAGACAUGCUGGAAAGAUAUAUACAAGGGCCAUGUUUGAGGAAUUUGGGCAUAUAUUGUAUGAGUGUCGAGUUAACCAAGUGGAAGAAAUUGAGAAACAUAAGCUGUAUGUUGCAAUUCACAUUGAGGCUGACAAAAGAGAGAAGUGGUGCAGGGUGUCAUAUGAGGUAAAAGUUGCUAGACGGAGGUCACGAGUUUGAAUGUGAAUGCGGGCAGUUUGAACACAUGGGGCUGCUGUGCAGCCAUGUGUUGAAGGUCCUAGACUUCAUCCGAGCUAAAGAAAUCCCAGUUAAGCAUUCAGUAAAAAGGUGGAGAAAGGAUGCUUGAGAUAUACUGCCUACGGACCUUGUGCAAUAUCAGAAAGAAGACAUGCAUAAAAAUCCAUUCUCAUACAGACACUUCACCAUAUAUAUACAUGCGAUGGAGCUAGCCCGCUUGGGCGAUACAAGUGUGGAGGCAUACAACCGUUUUAUGGGGCUAUUCAAAGCAAACCUGGCAGAGAUGUUGCCAGAUGCCGAAGGGAGAGAUGGCCUUGGUCUCGAGGAUAGGCUUGCUGAUAAGGGAGGUGCUGUGAAUCAGGUGGCAUCGUCCAUGGCGGCCGAAGUAGUGAACAAUAGUGGUCAGUAUGCCGGAAGCAAGGCCGGAUAAGAACAACUUGCCCAGACCGAGGAGAUGUACCAAAGCAGCCGAGGAAGCCGGCUAGGUAUAAGAAUUGCGGAGUGGAGGGUCGCCAGAGGAAUAAUUGUAAAAGGCAAUUGAUCUUAGGUUAGCAGGUGGAAUGUAGUUGCUGGCUGAUCAAACUAAUGAAUUAUCUGUUGACAUGUUCUCCAUAAUGGUUCAGUGUUUCGAUGUUCAUGUGUUGGGGUGUAAGCUCGAUACUUUGGUAAUGCUGGUGGAACUGAAACAAGUGCUGUAUGAUGGGUGAAACAUGCAAAAUCUGUGUACAUUAGCUGGAAGGCAGUCUGUAAUUUCCCUUGUUAUUCUCUUGGUUCA
Molecule: long non-coding RNA, 2965 nt
Organism: Triticum aestivum (bread wheat)
Lineage: Eukaryota; Viridiplantae; Streptophyta; Magnoliopsida; Poales; Poaceae
Exons: 7
Source: RefSeq, a predicted model, not a curated record